RNAcentral lists this ribosomal RNA (253 nucleotides) under uncultured bacterium. Its description in RNAcentral is "partial 16S ribosomal RNA". It matches the Rfam family "Bacterial small subunit ribosomal RNA", at positions 524 to 776 of the family's 1533-position model. The record is from RNAcentral.
UACGUAGGGAGCAAGCGUUGUCCGGAAUCAUUGGGCGUAAAGCGCGUGUAGGCGGUCCGGUAAGUCCGCUGUGAAAGUCGGGGGCUCAACCCUCGAAUGCCGGUGGAUACUGUCGGGCUAGAGUACGGAAGAGGCGAGUGGAAUUCCUGGUGUAGCGGUGAAAUGCGCAGAUAUCAGGAGGAACACCAAUUGCGAAGGCAGCUCGCUGGGACGUUACUGACGCUGAGGCACGAAAGCGUGGGGAGCAAACAGG